Non-coding RNA from Callorhinus ursinus (northern fur seal), 278 nucleotides. Lineage: Eukaryota; Metazoa; Chordata; Mammalia; Carnivora; Otariidae. The record is from RefSeq and is a predicted model, not a curated record.
GCUGCUUGGAGGGAAUGUUGUUUAUUUUUUCAAGGAAUGGCUUCUUGGAGGGACAGUUGUUUCUCUUAGGUCAGUUUACUCACUUCUGGAACUGACAAAUCAAUUGUUUCCACAAGCUAAACAUUAGUGGAUGGAAACAAUGCAGCUUACAUUUACUUGCACCCUGAAAAUAAACAGCCCAGCAGGAUGUGGGAGACAACAUCUAGCACCACCAUCAGAGCUGAUUAAACCUUGCUGGGCUGGAGGUGGCACGUACUGAUAGAGGUUUCUUCCUAAAC